AUUUUUAGUUAUAACAAUCUAUACUGAAAUAUUAUAAGUUAUGCCCUUUAAACUUAAAGGAUUUGGCGGUAAUUUAGUCAAGUUAGAGGAACCUGUUUAAUAAACGAUAAACCACGUAAAAUCUUACCUUUUCUAAAAGUUUGUAUACCUUCAUUAUUAGGUAAUUCUUAAAAGAAAAAAUUACUUCAAUAAAUAUUGAUUUUCUUUAUUUAAUAUAUUAGAUCAAGGUGCAGCCUAUGAAAAGGAUAAAAUGGGUUACAAUAAAACUAAUUUACUAUGAAUAAAAAAUUUAAAUAUUUUUUUGAAGGAGGAUUUAAUAGUAAAAUUAAUUUAAUAAGUUAAUUUGAUAAUAGAUCUAAAUUAAGUACAUAUCGCCCGUCGCUUUCAUCUCCAAAUGAAAUAAGUCGUAACAUAG
RNAcentral lists this ribosomal RNA (415 nucleotides) under Mocallichirus mocambiquensis. RNAcentral describes it as "partial small subunit ribosomal RNA". The record is from RNAcentral. Lineage: Eukaryota; Metazoa; Arthropoda; Malacostraca; Decapoda; Callichiridae.